UACGUAGGGGCUAGCGUUAUCCGGAAUUACUGGGCGUAAAGGGUGCGUAGGUGGUUUCUUAAGUCAGAGGUGAAAGGCUACGGCUCAACCGUAGUAAGCCUUUGAAACUGGGAAACUUGAGUGCAGGAGAGGAGAGUGGAAUUCCCGGUGUAGCGGUGAAAUGCGCAGAGAUCAGGAGGAAUACCGAAGGCGAAGGCAGUCUUCCAAGCCGUUAUUGACGCUCAACUGCGAAGGUGUGGGUAUCAAACAGGAUUAGAUACCCCUGUAGUCCCUGAGCGGG
Molecule: ribosomal RNA, 280 nt
Filed under: uncultured prokaryote
Description: partial 16S ribosomal RNA
Rfam family: Bacterial small subunit ribosomal RNA
Source: RNAcentral